AGGGCAGUCUGGUGCCAGCAGCCGCGGUAAUUCCAGCUCUCAAAGUGUAUAUCGUCAUUGCUGCGGUUAAAAAGCUCGUAGUUGGAUCUGCGCUUGAGGACUCGGUCCACCAUUUUGGUGCUGAACUGGGCUCCUCGGCUACAAUUGUGCUGGUUUUCCCUACGUUGCCUUUACCGGUCGCGUAGGGUGGCUAGCGAGUUUACUUUGAAAAAAUUAGAGUGCUUAAAGCGGGCUUUAAGUCUGAAUAUUUGUGCAUGGAAUAAUAGAAUAGGAUCUCGGUUCUAUUUUGUUGGUUUUCUGAUCUGAGAUAAUGGUUAAGAGGGACAGACGGGGGCAUUCGUAUCGCUGCGUGAGAGGUGAAAUUCUUGGACCGUAGCGAGACGCCCGACUGCGAAAGCAUUUGCCAAGAAUGUCUUCAUUAAUCAAGAACGAAAGUCAGAGGUUCGAAGGCGAUCAGAUACCGCCCUAGUUCUGACCGUAAACGAUACCAACUAGCGUUCCGCCGCUGGCAAGCACGCCUUGGCGGGCAGCUUCCCGGAAACGAAAGUUUUUCGGUUCCGGGGGAAGUAUGGUUGCAAAGCUGAAACUUAAAGAAAUUGACGGAAGGGCACCACCAGGAGUGGAGCCUGCGGCUUAAUUUGACUCAACACGGGAAAACUCACCUGGCCCGGACACUGUGAGGAUUGACAGAUUGAUAGCUCUUUCUUGAUUCGGUGGUUGGUGGUGCAUGGCCGUUCUUAGUUGGUGGAGUGAUUUGUCUGGUUUAUUCCGAUAACGAGCGAGACUCUAGCCUACUAAAUAGUUACUGGAUACUUAAGUCCAGCAGACUUCUUAGAGGGACAAGCGGUGUUCAGCCGCACGAAGUUGAGCAAUAACAGGUCUGUGAUGCCCUUAGAUGUCCAGGGCUGCACGCGCGCUACACUGGAGGAAUCAGCGUGCUGUAACCAUUUUCGAAAGGGAUUGGUAACCCCUUGAAAUCCUCCGUGAUCGGGAUCGGGAAUUGCAAUUAUUUCCCUUGAACGAGGAAUUCCUAGUAAGUGUGAGUCAUCAGCUCACGUUGAUUACGUCCCUGCCCUUUGUACACACCGCCCGUCGCUGCCCGGGACUGAGCCGUUUCGAGAAAAGCGGGGACCACCAGCUUCGAAACCUCGCAACAGGUGGAGAUUGUUUGGUGGAAACCGCCUUUAUCGCAGUGGCUUGAACCGGGCAAAAGUCGUAACAAGGUUUCCGUAGGUGAACCUGCGGAAGGAUCAUUACCG
This 1259-nucleotide ribosomal RNA is filed under the name Aspiculuris tetraptera. Its description in RNAcentral is "SSU rRNA". It matches the Rfam family "Eukaryotic small subunit ribosomal RNA", at positions 552 to 1831 of the family's 1831-position model. The record is from RNAcentral. Lineage: Eukaryota; Metazoa; Nematoda; Chromadorea; Rhabditida; Heteroxynematidae.